UGCGCCUUGCCAGCCCGCUCAGAAACUCAAAUGAAUUGACGGGGGCCCGCACAAGCGGUGGAGUAUGUGGUUUAAUUCGAUGCAACGCGAAGAACCUUACCUAGGUUUGACAUCCGGAAGACCUUCCCGAAAAGGAAGGGUGCCCUUCGGGGAAUUCCGAGACAGGUGCUGCAUGGCUGUCGUCAGCUCGUGCCGUGAGGUGUUGGGUUAAGUCCCGCAACGAGCGCAACCCUAUUGCCAGUUGCUACCAGGUAAUGCUGGGCACUCUGGUGAGACUGCCCCGGUUAACGGGGAGGAAGGUGGGGACGACGUCAAGUCAUCAUGGCCCUUACGCCUAGGGCUACACACGUACUACAAUGGCGCAUACAAAGGGCAGCGAUACCGCGAGGUGGAGCCAAUCCCAAAAAGUGCGUCCCAGUCCGGAUUGCAGUCUGCAACUCGACUGCAUGAAGUUGGAAUCGCUAGUAAUUCGAGAUCAGCAUGCUCGGGUGAAUGCGUUCCCGGGCCUU
Molecule: ribosomal RNA, 509 nt
Filed under: uncultured Desulfovibrio sp.
Lineage: Bacteria; Pseudomonadati; Thermodesulfobacteriota; Desulfovibrionia; Desulfovibrionales; Desulfovibrionaceae
Description: bacterial SSU rRNA
Rfam family: Bacterial small subunit ribosomal RNA
Source: RNAcentral